ACGUAGGGCGCGAGCGUUGUCCGAAAUUAUUGGGCGUAAAGAGCCCGUAGGCGGCUUGUCGCGUCGGUUGUGAAAGCCCGGGGCUUAACCCCGGGUCUGCAGUCGAUACGGGCAGGCUAGAGUUCGGUAGGGGAGAUCGGAAUUCCUGGUGUAGCGGUGAAAUGCGCAGAUAUCAGGAGGAACACCGGUGGCGAAGGCGGAUCUCUGGGCCGAUACUGACGCUGAGGAGCGAAAGCGUGGGGAGCGAACAGGA
This 253-nucleotide ribosomal RNA is filed under the name uncultured prokaryote. RNAcentral describes it as "partial 16S ribosomal RNA". It matches the Rfam family "Bacterial small subunit ribosomal RNA", at positions 525 to 777 of the family's 1533-position model. The record is from RNAcentral.